RNAcentral lists this long non-coding RNA (2913 nucleotides) under Citrus sinensis (sweet orange). RNAcentral describes it as "long non-coding RNA (CSIN_LNC001346)". Lineage: Eukaryota; Viridiplantae; Streptophyta; Magnoliopsida; Sapindales; Rutaceae. The record is from RNAcentral.
ACACGAUAAACAUAAUGCUGUAGCUAAACCAAGAAGUUAAAAGUUCAAGACGGAUGCAUAUUGUUCUAAAAAAUGCUGAUUGUGUGCUCUACCACCAUAUUUUCGAUAAGAGUCCAGCAAGGGCUAACUUAUUGUGAGAAUUAGGUGACAUAUUGCAACUGUCAGCAACUAAUAACAUGCCAAAUGAAAUUGUGACAAGUGACACAAUGCAUUUAAAAUAAAGUGAAAUAUGUCACUGCAGAAUGUGCAUUAUACUAGUUUGUCCUUCUCCAUGUUUUUAAAGGCAUUAAUAGAAGAUUCAUCAAGGAAGAAAAAAGCAAUUCCAAGGGUAUCUACACUGUUUUUGUAAAUGCUGUUUCAAUUUACUUGAAAUCAUUCUAAAGCCAACAAGAAUCUUUAGAAAUUCUCAAGGUACUCUAAAAAAUAGCAAUGGCCACUAAAUUUACGAGGAUAUAAUUUGUGGAAGGAUUGAUUUUCAUCUAGUCAGGGAGAGUAAAACUAUCAGUAAGAUGAACAUGUCAUACUAGCAAUCAUGAACGUGGUAUGAAACCUCCUUUGACUUUGGUUAAGCAAAUUAAUACCAACCAAAAUAACCCUCAUUGGCGUUAUUAAGAAAACUAAUAUCUACCAAAAUGAAGCUAAAACAAUAUUAUCCCCAUCAUUAUUGUUUGGAAUUAAAAGAUCACCCAUUCGUUACACCUUUAGGAACUAUGUAGAGAACAAAGCAAGACUAAAUGAGGGAGCCAUAAAACCUUUCUUUCAUAGCCAAGGGCUAAAAAGCUACAGAGAAGGCACUAGAUAAUUUUAAGUCACAGGCAUUAACAGGGCUUACAAGAACCAUAAGGAUUAGUUUUCACACACUACCUGGGCACCAGAAAUUGACCAUUUCACCAAUGCAGUGGACUCAAAAAAUAUGUAUAAAACCAACAAAUAUUAUAUCAAGUUAGUGAUACAUGAAAUGGCAUAAUAAAACAGGCUCAAAGUCAAUGUAUGCAUAUUAGGAAGAAAACCACCCAUUAACCUUGCAGUGUUUGCACCAAAAGUUAUAUGCGACUACAUAACAUAUAUGUGAAUGCAAAUGGAGAAUUGCAAUAUAUAUGCGGCAGCUGCCACAGUAAUAACUUCAGCAAGGUCUAACCACAUAAAGAAAUAAAAUAGUAUCACGCACCAAUGUGAUUAUGAAGUGAGUAAAAAAAAUGCAGAAUAACAACUUUGUCUGGAUUAGACAUAAGAAAAAUAUGUAUCAUUGCCAUCUGUUCAGUACACAUUGCUUUUCAAUUGUAUCAAUGAGAAUGAAAGAAUUAAGAUAUCAUGUGCACCGCAUAGUUAUUGGAAAUAUGUACAGGAGGAAAAAGAAAAUUAUAUCUUAAUCACUCAGUUUUCUCACAUCGACAACCCACGAUGUAUGUUCUUUAUUCCUGGUCCUCUGCACUGCUAGCUAGCUCAUUUCUUAAUCUCGUCGGUAUGUGAAACUAUUCCAUGCAAAGCCUUAAAAAUUCACACCAUUACUAUGGAAACACCCAUCUUGGGAAUCAAUGCUACGAAAGAUUUUAAUUUUUCACUUUGUUAGUCCUCUCUAUUAUAAAUUGUUAUAGAUCAAUCGCAAGGCUGAACAAAAACAAUCAAAUCAAUUAGAAGAAGUCUUUCAACAUGACACUAACAAUGCAACAAAGAAUUCCAGUUCCUUCUUCUCUGUAUUGACACACUAGUACCCGUUUUAACACAAGGAUAUCUUAAAAAUAAUUCGCUACUCUACUUUCCUCAAUUUUUCCCAGCAGGGAAACAACAGAUUAACUAACAAGUUAAUUAAAAUAAAAAAAAUGAAAAAGCAACCACCAGUUCUAUGACAAACCCACAUAAUUUGCCCAAAGAAAUCCCUGAAUAACACACAACAAUACAAUCAAAGCUCUUAAUUCAUUAUUUACAUGCGUGAGAACAAAAGGAAGAAAGCAACUGAACAGGAAGCAGAAAGGAGACCAAUUUUUUUCUAAUUAUUUAUGACCCAGAAUAGAAAAAGACCUCCUUAUAAGUAGUUGGAGGGUCAUAAAACUGAAUAAAAACUCUCAGGUAACGGAGGUGAAAGAUCCACUAACAACUCAUGUUUUCUUCCCAGGACAGAGAUCUUGUUAGGAACCAUAUGAAAAAAAAUCAUAUUCCCAACAUUUAUACCAAUGAAAACAGAAGGGGAGCACACAGGUAAGAUCACCCCUUUCAAGAGACAGUAUAUUGAACCCACAGACUUGACACAGGUAAGAAACCUCAAAGUAAACAGAAGAAGUGAAAAUGGAUGACCGCAUACUUGAGAAAUAAGUACUACUCCUAAAAAUGGGUGUCUGCAGCAAGUUUACAUAAUAUGUGACACAUGUAACACAAAACAGAUACAUAUUCAAUACAAAACAAAACCUUGAUCAAAUUACAUAUGACAAAACUGAAAGGGCAAACAUAAAAUCUUCCUGGGUAAGGUGUACUAUUUACCUUCUUUUAGCAACACUUGUUAAUGAGCUAUGCAUUACUGUAAUAACAAGGCAUUAAGAAGAAAGGUUUAGGAAACAGAAUAUUAAGUCGUGCAUCUCACCUCAACUGGUGUCAUUAAUUCCAAAGGAUUAUCCCAAGUAGAUUGUCUGGUCCUGUUGUUGUAAUAAUAUCUCUAGAAAUUCAGAGGAAUCAUAUUCAACUAGUGUGAGAAACAAAAUAUAGAACACCUCCUAAAGAACACGAUAAACAUAAUGUUGUAGCAAAACCAAGAAGUAAAGUUCAAGAGGGAUGCAAAUUGUUCUAAGAAAUGCUGAUCACGUACUCUGCCACCAUAUUUUCGAUAAGAGUCCAACAUGGACUAACUUAUUGUGAGAAUUAGGUGACAUAUUGCAACUGUCAACAACUAAUAACAUGCCAAAUGAAAUUGUGAUAAGUGAC